GAUGAACGCUGGCGGCGUGCCUAAUACAUGCAAGUCGAGCGAACAGAUGAGGAGCUUGCUCCUCUGACGUUAGCGGCGGACGGGUGAGUAACACGUGGAUAACCUACCUAUAAGACUGGGAUAACUUCGGGAAACCGGAGCUAAUACCGGAUAAUAUAUUGAACCGCAUGGUUCAAUAGUGAAAGACGGUUUUGCUGUCACUUAUAGAUGGAUCCGCGCCGCAUUAGCUAGUUGGUAAGGUAACGGCUUACCAAGGCAACGAUGCGUAGCCGACCUGAGAGGGUGAUCGGCCACACUGGAACUGAGACACGGUCCAGACUCCUACGGGAGGCAGCAGUAGGGAAUCUUCCGCAAUGGGCGAAAGCCUGACGGAGCAACGCCGCGUGAGUGAUGAAGGUCUUCGGAUCGUAAAACUCUGUUAUUAGGGAAGAACAAAUGUGUAAGUAACUAUUCACGUCUUGACGGUACCUAAUCAGAAAGCCACGGCUAACUACGUG
This 497-nucleotide ribosomal RNA is filed under the name uncultured bacterium. RNAcentral describes it as "partial 16S ribosomal RNA". It matches the Rfam family "Bacterial small subunit ribosomal RNA", at positions 28 to 507 of the family's 1533-position model. The record is from RNAcentral.